Molecule: ribosomal RNA, 496 nt
Filed under: uncultured bacterium
Lineage: Bacteria
Description: partial 16S ribosomal RNA
Rfam family: Bacterial small subunit ribosomal RNA
Source: RNAcentral
GAUGAACGCUGGCGGCGUGCCUAAUACAUGCAAGUCGAGCGAACAGACGAGGAGCUUGCUCCUCUGACGUUAGCGGCGGACGGGUGAGUAACACGUGGAUAACCUACCUAUAAGACUGGGAUAACUUCGGGAAACCGAGCUAAUACCGGAUAAUAUAUUGAACCGCAUGGUUCAAUAGUGAAAGACGGUUUUGCUGUCACUUAUAGAUGGAUCCGCGCCGCAUUAGCUAGUUGGUAAGGUAACGGCUUACCAAGGCAACGAUGCGUAGCCGACCUGAGAGGGUGAUCGGCCACACUGGAACUGAGACACGGUCCAGACUCCUACGGGAGGCAGCAGUAGGGAAUCUUCCGCAAUGGGCGAAAGCCUGACGGAGCAACGCCGCGUGAGUGAUGAAGGUCUUCGGAUCGUAAAACUCUGUUAUUAGGGAAGAACAAAUGUGUAAGUAACUAUGCACGUCUUGACAGUACCUAAUCAGAAAGCCACGGCUAACUACGUG